CUUUGUAGGUGUGAGCAUCUUGAUUCUGGUUCUGCUUGUGGCUUCCCUAGCUUCUGACCCUUUGCUUGUUCUUGGACUUCAAACCUGCCAGCUCCUAAUGGACUGAUCCCUGGCUUCUGAUUUCCUGCUUGACUUUGCCACAGUGUGCUUCCUACCACACCUGACCUGCCCAGGUAUCCUGCUGCUGACUGCAGACAAUGGACAAAACCUACAAAGAUUAUUACUCCUGCUUCCAUCUCACCCUCAGCUCUGCUCCAGCUUAUCCGACAUACCCAAGAUUACACUCUGUCAUCAGUCCAGAAUAAUGAAUGUAGCUAUUGAGGCUUUAGUCAAGGAUGUUAUAUGUUGCUAUUCCUUUCCUGUGGCUUCAUCCAUCCAUCCUGCAGCAGUAGCCUUUUAGAAGCUGAAACUAUGUGGAUGGGGUUAGUCAAGUGGGUCCUUUCCAAAGGAUUAUCACCCACCUGGGAGGGAGGGAAGCAGUGAGGAUGACACAGGAGACUGUUUUUUUCAUAGGAUUCCACCUUCCAAGGUUACUACAAUGCUGUGGGUUGAAGUCACAUAAAAAUUGUUUCUGGUCCACUGUAGUCAUAUAUAAAAGGGCUCUUAGUUCUUUGUAUCUUAUUGGCUUUAGGUGGUGCUUUGCAGAGGCACCAUUAAAAAAAGAUCCUGAGUUUCA
This is a long non-coding RNA of Hemicordylus capensis (graceful crag lizard), 676 nucleotides long. RefSeq lists it as uncharacterized. NCBI's taxonomy places the organism in Eukaryota, Metazoa, Chordata, Lepidosauria, Squamata, Cordylidae. The transcript is spliced from 3 exons. The record is from RefSeq and is a predicted model, not a curated record.